AACGAACGGCACGAGAUCGCCCUGGUCGUUUCGGCAACCAUUGUCAAGCAAAGGCGAUGCUGGCCUUUCGUGCAUCGUGAUCGCGACCAGCGUGGGUGGCAGCAUGGUGACCGACUAUAGUAGCCAGACUAGCUAGACCUCUUGGCCAGCUGUUCUAGAGGCCUGGUGACUUGCCCACCCUGAGGACCUGGUGGCCAGCUGUUCUAGCGACCAAGUAUCAUGUUCUCCGCUCUGCGCACCCCGUGGCAAGAUCUUCCAGCGGCCAGAUGCCCUGCGGCCCAACCUGCGGAUCUUGUGGCUAGCUGUUAUAGCGACCAGGUGUUCUAACAAACCGGUGUCUUGCUCUGUGCCUUGCGGACCAAGUGGACGGCAGUUCUGGCGACCUGGUGUCUUGCCGCCUGCCCGGACCUGGUGGCGAGCUGCUCAACCGACCUUAUCGGCUUGCCCCACGAGACAGGCUAUUCGUUCUGCAACUGAAAAUUACUAGGUCCACCUGGCUCCUGGAGCAGCGAGGCGAACAGCAUGCUCAGGCGCACGCUCAUGUCGGGUUACAGGUGCCAGUUGUGAGCGACGUAGGAUGACGCAUUGCCCCAGCCAUGCCGGUGGCAUGAACACUCCCUGAUGUCUCCGUGUAGCUGGAUACUCCACUUCAAAAAUUGGUUGGCCAAGAUGUCCAGCAGGGUCGAGGCUCCUUGAUCUGCAUUUUCAAGCGCAUAUAUCUUUUUAGAUCCUGAGCAGCGUGCUCACCGGAAGUGGGAAACAUGGCGACUAUCUCCCCACCACGGACUUCGAACGCGAAGUCCAUCGAUCGGACGCAACCUGGUCCGAGACCUCCGAAGAGCCGCCGACGCAAGAUGCAGAGGUUCAGCUGCAACACCAGGUGGCGAACCUGCGUCAGAGCGGCCACAUUUACCGUCACGACGACGUGGCUGUUCGAACCAUUGCUGAGAAUUCCGACGAACGCGUGUUUACGCACACAUAAAAAUAAAGUCUCACAACACCGCUGGCCAUCAGGCCGGAAGACGACGACGACGACGACGACGACGACGCCGCCGGCGGCGGCGGCAACGACGUAUAGCAUCCAGGACGUGCCAGACGACUCGCACUUCAGAUGCCACUAGUCGAACUAACUAUAAGUCUUUGCGCGGUACAUCCUGAAUAGCCUAAGGAUAGCUUGGGCAGGGUCAUCGAAAAAGAGCACCGAUAACACGGCGCCUUAACGAGUUAUCGAGUUGGCAAAGGCAGGCGAAAGACAAGGAGUGGAAUGGUGGUGGAUGGCAUGAAUAUCUUAAGGGACGGAAAACCACGUGCGACUGCAAAAUUUGGCGGAGAUGUUCGCAGUACCGCAUGCUGUUUGCGCACUGUUUUUUCUCCAAGCCACUAAGGUGCUUCGGUGCCCUUUUAACACUGUAAUGCAUAACGCACCGCCUGUAUACUGCGCUGCUUGAGAUUCCGAAAUUGAAAUUUGAGCAGCUGAAACAGAAGUAGCGAUAUUAAUUCGCUGUCGAAAUAAGUGUCGGUUUUGAAUAGCUUGGGAAUCGAAUUGCUAACUACAGUGCUAAUUAACAUUGCUCACGAAUUCUGCUCACAAAUUUGCACUCCAUGGCGUGUAAUGGAGAAAGUUCUGCGUACGUACAAGCGUGCUUUAGCAUUACAGGGUUUAAAUACUCCCCCAAUACUGUUCGUUUCAGUGUUGGACGAUUCGAACAGCAAGUUAGUCAGUGUUCGAAAACUGCAGCAGUGGACGACGAAGCCUGGAGUGAGACACGACGCUUCUGCAAUAUUCACAGAGCAUCUUGAAGGCGUACCACAGGUUAAGUACAUAAAAUUUCACGAUGUCUUAUCACGAGCCCCCAUAACUGGCGCCCGUGUAUUUUGUUGCAGGAAGAGUUGCUCGUGAUGUCAGCAUUUCGCGGAGGUUAAGCAAUCGCCGUAUAAGAAGGAAGAGCCACUUGAAUACUCGUGUAAUUUGGGGCUUUUUUUUUCCCCAGGUCUAUCAUCUGCUUUUCUUGGGGGCUCCACCCCCCCCCCCCUUUUUUUUUCUUGUACUGAAUAGCUGUGCGCAUCUCUCAGCCUAAUGCUUCCUUAAAGCUGUUUCAAAUAUACUUCCAGUGUCGCGAUUUUCCCCUCGUGCAUCUAACUCCUUUCGGCUGUUACGGUUUUCAGCAUUUAGGAGUCGCCACUAAGACGUUCUGAAACUGUCCUCAUGUCGUUGCCAUCGCUAAUUCUUACGUGGGUACUUGCGACAUGCGUGUGAUUCGCAGCAGCUGUUGUUCCAUAACUUACCUAUUCGACGUCAUUUCUUAUGUUGGGAAAUUCCGCAACGUAUUCUUCAUUCCGGCAUUUUUUCGCGGUAGUCUACAUGUGCGCGCGUGUCAAGUACAGAAGAUUGGUUGGCUUAUAGCAACGUAGACGUCGCGUUGCUCCACGCUAGUCGGUAACAAAAACGCUUACUGUGGACUCCGUGCACCCGGAUGCUCCACGUUGAAUAUCGGUUGGCCAGGAUGUCGAGCAGGGUUGAACCACCUUGCUCUGCAUUUUUGUUGCUCUGUAGCUACGAACGCACGUAGUACACAUCCAAACAUUGAUGAGUGCUGGCGUUACUGAAGUUCGCAAUUAGUGGAGGUUUUACUACACGCAAUCCAUUCGUACUGUUUGCCUUGCAUGUACCGCAGUACAACCCUCAAAUUGCACCUACGACAGUCUCCUCUUGAUUUCGUUUGUGUGCGUGUGUUUUGACCCGCCCAUAGGAAUUAUUCGACUCUUGUAACCAGU
This is a long non-coding RNA of Dermacentor albipictus, 2775 nucleotides long. RefSeq lists it as uncharacterized. The record is from RefSeq and is a predicted model, not a curated record. NCBI's taxonomy places the organism in Eukaryota, Metazoa, Arthropoda, Arachnida, Ixodida, Ixodidae.